This 156-nucleotide ribosomal RNA is filed under the name uncultured bacterium. RNAcentral describes it as "partial 16S ribosomal RNA". It matches the Rfam family "Bacterial small subunit ribosomal RNA", at positions 355 to 507 of the family's 1533-position model. The record is from RNAcentral.
UGAGGAAUAUUGGUCAAUGGGCGCAAGCCUGAACCAGCCAUCCCGCGUGCAGGAAGACGGCGCUAUGCGUUGUAAACUGCUUUUCCAGGGAGAGAAACUUGCGCACGUGUUGCGCAAUUGACGGUACCCUGGGAAUAAGCAUCGGCUAACUCCGUG